UCAUUGCCCCCCGGAGCCGGGGGAUCCGGGAGGCUGCUGCAGUGAGCCGGCCGCGGGUGCUGCUGCGAGGAGCCGGUGUCCGGGACCGCCCGGAGCAGGCAGGUUAAUGAGCUGGGUGGAGGAGGCUCUGGGAGGCCCUGCACCCUCUGUGCGCCCGCGGCCAGGGCGCAGCGGGCGAGGCUUGGGAGCGAGAUGGGGCUGGCGGCAGCAGCGGCUCCCCCACCUACUUGCUGGCGGCGAGGCGCGGGGGCCUGGGGCCAGCAGCGCGGCUCCCAGCUUCCAUCCCGACUCUUGCUAAGAAGCGAAACACGCCCCACGUCAGCCUCUUCUGUUUAGACUUUUCCAACUGCCACUUUUAAGCUGUCAUUAAAGACCUGGGGCGCUCCCCAAAGGUUUGGGGCAAGUCCGCGCCGGUCUAGCCAGCCCCAGGAAAGUGCAAGAAAGAAAGAUUGGGAGGGGCUGGUGGGAGGAGAGAUGUGGGAAGAGCAGUUUUCCGGGACCCCAGGGACCCACUUGCCACCCACUAGGGCCGCCGUCCUCCCUGCCCUAGAGCAAAAUGACACAACACUCUGAGGCUAGGAGUGCCCAGGUUGGCACUAAAACUGCGAAUCCCUAAAGGAUAAGCGGGAAAGCGGGCGGGUGGAAAAAGUGAACUUUGGUUUGGGUCGCCCCCGCUCUCGCCACAAUUCUAGCAAUUAGGAUCUCUAGCGCGCUCUCACUUAAGUUUGCCAACUGCCUUGCAUUCGCCCUCGGGGCUGCGCUGCCUCCGGCGCGUGGGGGCGGGCACCUCGGAAACUGGAAAGACAGCCAGAGAGCUCGCUGGGUCCCGCUUUCCCAUAGGAGGUACUGUCCCACUUCCAGCCAGCUUCCGCCCCCGACGCGCCCAGGCUCUGGGUGCUUCCUCGCGUCACCACCAACCUCACUCCCGGCCCUGGGGGUAGUGCCCUAGUGACACCAGGACCUUAACUAUUCUAUUCGUUGGUGGCAGUAACCGGGGUGGUCAUCCUAACUUUCUCCAGCGAAUGUUCACUGGCUUGCCAGCCAGGCCUGAGACCCAAGGCCAGGAAGAACCGAUGGAGCCAGAUCGCAGCAGUGCGCCCAAGUGCCUGGAGACAACCUCGCCGGGUCCUUGCGUGCGUCAUUGGAAUUUGCCUCUAUGUUUCAAUUCAGCUGUGGGGAGUCCUGCCUCAACUAUUUGUUCCUUCUUUCCAUGUUGCCUGUCUUACCCCCCUUACCCCCGCUCCGAGGCUUUUAUCAUUUUGUGCCACAAUAGGAACCAUCCAUCAAGUUGUAAUUUACAAGGAAUGU
RNAcentral lists this long non-coding RNA (1308 nucleotides) under Mus musculus (house mouse). RNAcentral describes it as "long non-coding RNA chr18:15064021-15065329". The record is from RNAcentral. Lineage: Eukaryota; Metazoa; Chordata; Mammalia; Rodentia; Muridae.